CCCUUAGAUGUUCUGGGCCGCACGCGCGCUACACUGAAUGGAUCAACGUGUUUUCCCUUCCCGAGAGGGACGGGUAACCCGCUGAACCCCAUUCGUGGUAGGGAUCGGAGCUUGCAAUUGUUCUCCGUGAACCAGGAAUUCCCAGUAAGCGCAAGUCAUAAGCUUGCUUGAUUACGUCCCUGCCCUUUGUACACACCGCCCGUCGCUCCUACCGAUUGAAUGGUCCGGUGAAGCGUUCGGACCGUGGCCUUUGGACGGUUCGCCGUCUGUUGGCUGCGGGAAGUUCGUUAAACCUUAUCAUUUAGAGGAAGGAGAAGUCGUANCA
Molecule: ribosomal RNA, 325 nt
Filed under: uncultured eukaryote
Lineage: Eukaryota
Description: partial 18S ribosomal RNA
Rfam family: Eukaryotic small subunit ribosomal RNA
Source: RNAcentral